This 531-nucleotide unclassified non-coding RNA is filed under the name Hevea brasiliensis (rubber tree). Lineage: Eukaryota; Viridiplantae; Streptophyta; Magnoliopsida; Malpighiales; Euphorbiaceae. The record is from RNAcentral.
AAAAAAAAAAAAAAAAAAGCUUCUGUGUUUUAUGCGAGAGCUUGAAAUAAAUAUAGCUAGUCUUGACAAAAAAGGCGAAUGCUUGUGGAGUUGUGCCUUUCUUGAUCUAAGCAGUUCUUUUCUUUGAGCUCAAGAGAUCGAUGUCAGCAAAGACUAACAAAAUCUAUAAGUAAAGAAGCGAUUCCUCGAAUGUAUUAGAGCCUAAAGAUAAACUGCAUGUGUUUGAUGGCUUUAGAGACCAAGCGCAAGGUAGAAUCUUCUCUCUUCCAAGUUCCAAACUAUUAAUAUUCAAAGAUUCAAAAACAUACAGACGAUUAUAACUAAUACUUUAUUUGGAAGUGCCAUUUAAAGUCUUUUUUUUUGCUGGUUACGCGUUUCAAGGCAAGGCAAAGAAACGUAAAAUUUGACCUAGAACAAAACUUUUGAAACUGGAAGUAGCAAUUUGCAGGCAAGAAGAAACCAGCCGGCAGCCACAUGAUAUGUCACCUCCAGUAAAGGACAAAAUACAAAGGCCCAUUUGGGUGGACUUUG